UAGUGAGUUUGAUCCUGGCUCAGAACGAACGCUGGCGGCAUGCCUAACACAUGCAAGUCGAACGAGACCUUCGGGUCUAGUGGCGCACGGGUGCGUAACGCGUGGGAACCUGCCUUGAGGUUCGGAAUAACUCAGAGAAAUUUGAGCUAAUACCGGAUGAUGUCUUCGGACCAAAGAUUUAUCGCCUUUAGAUGGGCCCGCGUUGGAUUAGCUAGUUGGUGGGGGUAAAGGCCUACCAAGGCGACGAUCCAUAGCU
RNAcentral lists this ribosomal RNA (256 nucleotides) under uncultured Sphingomonadales bacterium. RNAcentral describes it as "partial 16S ribosomal RNA". It matches the Rfam family "Bacterial small subunit ribosomal RNA", at positions 1 to 288 of the family's 1533-position model. Lineage: Bacteria; Pseudomonadati; Pseudomonadota; Alphaproteobacteria; Sphingomonadales. The record is from RNAcentral.